Molecule: non-coding RNA, 148 nt
Organism: Homo sapiens (human)
Lineage: Eukaryota; Metazoa; Chordata; Mammalia; Primates; Hominidae
Rfam family: Metazoan signal recognition particle RNA
About the family: The signal recognition particle (SRP) is a universally conserved ribonucleoprotein. It is involved in the co-translational targeting of proteins to membranes.
Source: Rfam
GCUGGGUGUGGUGGCGGGUGCCUGUAAUCCCAGCUACUCGGGAGGCUGAGGCAGGAGAACUGCUUGAACCCAGGAGGCGGAGGUUGCAGUGAGCCAAGAUUGUGCCACUGCACUCCAGCCUGGGUGACAGAGCGAGAUUCUGUCUCAA